This is a long non-coding RNA of Vombatus ursinus (common wombat), 310 nucleotides long. RefSeq lists it as uncharacterized. The record is from RefSeq and is a predicted model, not a curated record. The transcript has 3 exons. NCBI's taxonomy places the organism in Eukaryota, Metazoa, Chordata, Mammalia, Diprotodontia, Vombatidae.
CCUUGUUCUGUUCAGAGCACAGCAUGACAGUUUGAAUCAGUCCACAGAAACAAUGGCUCAGAGUCUCACAACUGGCAAGCUGUCCUGAUUACUUCUCUGCUUCGGGUAACUGGAGAAACCUCGGAUGACUGGUUAUUAUUGGAACUGGAGCUUUCUGGAAACUACCCCAACAGAGAGAACUAAGUGUGAUGAUGGAAAUUUCAGGCACCACAGCAAUAGACAUUUUGGAGGCAGUACCUACUUCACAAGGCUCAAAGGAUGAACAGGCUUAUUUACAGGUCAAAGAAUUCCAAGAAUACUCCCACAGCAC